Molecule: unclassified non-coding RNA, 348 nt
Filed under: soil metagenome
Description: partial contains 5.8S ribosomal RNA, internal transcribed spacer 2, and large subunit ribosomal RNA
Rfam family: 5.8S ribosomal RNA (bases 1-120)
Source: RNAcentral
GAUGAAGAACGUAGCGAAAUGCGAUAAGUAAUGUGAAUUGCAGAAUUCAGUGAAUCAUCGAAUCUUUGAACGCGCAUUGCGCCCGCCAGUAUUCUGGCGGGCAUGCCUGUCUGAGCGUCAUUUCAACCCUCAUGCCCCUAGGGCGUGGUGUUGGGGAUCGGCCAAAGCCCGCGAGGGACGGCCGGCCCCUAAAUCUAGUGGCGGACCCGUCGUGGCCUCCUCUGCGAAGUAGUGAUAUUCCGCAUCGGAGAGCGAUGAGCCCCUGCCGUUAAACCCCCAACUUUCCAAGGUUGACCUCAGAUCAGGUAGGAAUACCCGCUGAACUUAAGCAUAUCAAUAAGCGGAGGA